This 362-nucleotide long non-coding RNA is filed under the name Anser brachyrhynchus (Pink-footed goose). Its description in RNAcentral is "lncRNA (ENSABRG00000014624.1)". The record is from RNAcentral. Lineage: Eukaryota; Metazoa; Chordata; Aves; Anseriformes; Anatidae.
CUUGGAACAAGAAGAUAGGUUUGAAGCUGGUUAACAUAUUUACCAGCAUUACCAGGUGUUUCUGGGCCUAUUUUCUGUGAGGCUGUAAGACACCAAGGAGAAAGGAGUUGACGACUGAAGACAAGGUUGUCAGUGAUUGCUGGGUUCCUGCAAGUGUAGAAUGCAAACAGAGAAGCCACAGCACAGAAGGAAGAGAAUUUCACAAGAUUAUGGACUUUCCUCUUUCUCUGGGUACCUCGGUGGAAUUGGAGGAAAAAUUAUUAACACAAUACUACAGCUUGCAGUUGCAAGGGAACUGUAUUUGUGCACUAGGCAGUUUAAGAGAAGGAGACUGAUACUCUGCAAAUGAUGGCAGAAGAAGA